GUGAGGAAUAUUGGUCAAUGGGCGAGAGCCUGAACCAGCCAAGUCGCGUGAAGGAUGAAGGUUUUAUGAAUUGUAAACUUCUUUUGCAGGGGAAUAAAGUACGGUACGUGUACCGUUUUGUAUGUACUCUGCGAAUAGGGAUCGGCUAACUCCGUGCCAGUAGCCGCGGUAAUACGGAGGAUCCAAGCGUUAUCCGGAUUUAUUGGGUUUAAAGGGUGCGCAGGCGGGUUGAUAAGUCAGCGGUGAAAGUUUGCAGCUUAACUGUAAAAUUGCCGUUGAAACUGUCGAUCUUGAGUGCAAAUGAGGUAAGCGGAAUGUGUUGUGUAGCGGUGAAAUGCUUAGAUAUAACACAGAACACCGAUUGCGAAGGCAGCUUACUGGGAUGCAACUGACGCUCAUGCACGAAAGCGUGGGGAUCAAACAGGAUUAGAAACCCGGGUAGUCC
RNAcentral lists this ribosomal RNA (445 nucleotides) under uncultured bacterium. RNAcentral describes it as "partial 16S ribosomal RNA". It matches the Rfam family "Bacterial small subunit ribosomal RNA", at positions 354 to 796 of the family's 1533-position model. The record is from RNAcentral.